This 245-nucleotide ribosomal RNA is filed under the name uncultured bacterium. RNAcentral's name for it is "partial 16S ribosomal RNA". It matches the Rfam family "Bacterial small subunit ribosomal RNA", at positions 524 to 766 of the family's 1533-position model. The record is from RNAcentral.
UACAGAGGCCCCGAGCAUUAUCCGGAAUCACUGGGCGUAAAGGGUGUGUAGGCGGUCGUGUUAGUCUUUCGUGAAAGAUCCUGGGCUUAACCCAAGAGACGCGGAGGAAACGGCACGACUCAGAGGACGCGAGAGGUCAUGGGAACUCAUGGUGUAGGGGUGAAAUCCGUUGAUAUCAUGGGGAACACCAAAUGCGAAGGCACAUGACUGGCGCGCUCCUGACGCUGAAACACGAAAGCGUGGGA